This 508-nucleotide ribosomal RNA is filed under the name Parachauliodes yanbaru. RNAcentral describes it as "partial large subunit ribosomal RNA". The stretch from base 387 to 508 matches the Rfam family "Bacterial large subunit ribosomal RNA", at positions 2473 to 2594 of the family's 2925-position model. The record is from RNAcentral. Lineage: Eukaryota; Metazoa; Arthropoda; Insecta; Megaloptera; Corydalidae.
GUCUUUUUGAUUAUAAUUUAAAGUCUAACCUGCCCACUGAAAUUUUUGAAGGGCCGCGGUAUUUUGACUGUGCAAAGGUAGCAUAAUCAUUAGUCUUUUAAUUGGAGGCUUGUAUGAAUGGUUGGAUGAGGUAUUAACUGUCUCAAUUUAAUAAAUAAUAGAAUUUUAUUUUUAAGUUAAAAAGCUUAAAUAAAGUUAAAAGACGAGAAGACCCUAUAGAUCUUUAUAAUUAAUUUUAUUAUAAUUUUUUAGGUUAAAUUUAUUUUUAUAAAAUUAAUUAUUUUAUUGGGGUGAUGAAAAAAUUUAUAAAACUUUUUUUGUAGAUAAACAAUUAUAUUUGGUUAAUUGAUCCAUUUUUUGUGAUUAUAAGAUUAAGUUACCUUAGGGAUAACAGCGUAAUUUUUUUGGAGAGUUCUUAUCGAUAAAAAAGAUUGCGACCUCGAUGUUGAAUUAAAGGUUAAUUUUAGGUGUAGAAGUUUAAAAUUUUGGUCUGUUCGACCAUUAAAUC